UCCCUGGUGGCUCAGAUGGUAAAGCAUCUGCCUACAAUGCGGGAGACCCGGGUUUGAUCCCUGGGUCGGGAA
RNAcentral lists this transfer RNA (72 nucleotides) under Odocoileus virginianus texanus. It matches the Rfam family "tRNA". From Rfam's summary of the family: Transfer RNA (tRNA) molecules are approximately 80 nucleotides in length. Their secondary structure includes four short double-helical elements and three loops (D, anti-codon, and T loops). The record is from Rfam by way of RNAcentral. Lineage: Eukaryota; Metazoa; Chordata; Mammalia; Artiodactyla; Cervidae. RNAcentral also lists the same sequence under 4 other names.